This 497-nucleotide ribosomal RNA is filed under the name uncultured bacterium. RNAcentral describes it as "partial 16S ribosomal RNA". It matches the Rfam family "Bacterial small subunit ribosomal RNA", at positions 28 to 507 of the family's 1533-position model. The record is from RNAcentral.
GAUGAACGCUGGCGGCGUGCCUAAUACAUGCAAGUCGAGCGAAAGGACGAGAAGCUUGCUUCUCUGAUGUUAGCGGAGGACGGGUGAGUAACACGUGGAUAACCUACCUAUAAGACUGGGAUAACUUCGGGAAACCGUAGCUAACACCGGAGAAGAUCUUGAACCGCAGGGUUCAAUAGUGAAAGACGGUCUUGGGGUCACUUAUAGAUGGAUCCCCGCUGCAUUAGCUAGUUGGUAAGGUAACGGCUUAUCAAGGCAAGUAUGCGUAGCCGACCGGAGAGGGUGAUCGCCCACAUGGGAGCUGGACCACGCUCCAUGCUCCUACGGUAGGGAGCAGUCGGCAAUGGUACGCAGCGGUCGGGAACCUGGCACAACGACGCCACGUCAGUGGCGGCGGCCCUCGGUUCGUAAUGCUCUGUUUCGAGGGAUAAACAGCUGUGGACGUAACUGAAGCCAGCUUGACGGUACCUAGUAAGAAAGCCCCGGCUAACUACGUG